CUUUUUACCAACAGCAGUCCAGUCUGGUACAAAAACACUAUGCUGCAUACCAUGAGGCACUGCUGAUAUUUACACCAGUACCCACGGUGUAACCCAUGUGAUUUUUGCAGACAUCUUCCACCAAGCAGGGAAGACGUUAGGUAUGUGGGUGCAGGGCUGGACAAGCGUAACAGACAUCUGUCUGCUACCGUUCCAUCGCUUAUUUCCAGCUUCAGACUACACAAACUGCACUAAUGCAGGCACCUCUGUUGCAGGUCAAGAGUUUGGUCAGCAAGGGGAGGACAGAUCACUAGUCCCGGCGCAGGCCAAAACAGGUUCGGUU
Molecule: long non-coding RNA, 322 nt
Organism: Lolium rigidum
Lineage: Eukaryota; Viridiplantae; Streptophyta; Magnoliopsida; Poales; Poaceae
Exons: 3
Source: RefSeq, a predicted model, not a curated record